UAAACCUACAAGAGUCAUAGAUGUGAUACUGAUACCUUAAUCUGUAAAACUGCUUCACUGUAGUUCCGAACUAACAUACCAUGGUACAAAUUCACAUAUACACAAGACCAAACCUGCAACCUACCUCUAACAUUAAUCUGACAGUGAACAACUGGAAAUCAGAAAAGGACAGGAACAGUUAGCCCAAGUGUAAUUUCCAUGAUAUGCCUUGUAAGCUGAAAUUUACCUCUGUAUAAAGAAAUAGCAAAGAGACAGCCAUGGUUCAGGAGUCUUAUUUAAAUUGCGGUCAGAUUCACUACCGUCUGGCCCUCUGCAGUCACCCUGGAUUCAUGCCCUGCUACUACAAAGAAUAUAAACCCAUCUGCGCACAAAGUGACAUUUACCCUUGCGUUGGUUUUAUCACUUGUGGUGUUCUCCCCUUGCGUUGGAACACCGCCAUUCUGACUCAUGCGGUUGUACUGGCAAACCUGGGCUUGCAUACGUUACAAACUGAUCUCGAGAGGAGCGUAAGAAGGUAUCUCAUAAUCUUGAAGCAAAACUCUUUCAAAAGAGGAAAAUGCUGCUUCCAGUAUACCGUUCUCCAGCUGAGCUGAGAGUGACUUCCCAAGAUAAGACCCUGCUGUUACUCAGUUUCUAAAUAAGGCUCUGAUUUCACAAGCUGAACAAAUCUGGACUGACUCCAUACUGGAUUAACAGACUUCUAGCAAAAACAAGUUUUGCUACAGGAAACGUGGUGACAUAACAAGUUCAGCUUGGUCCUGAUCUCAAUACAGUCAUCAGAGGACACGUGGGUACUUUGAGUAGGAACAGAGGUGCUAUGCACUCUCCUCUGGGUGAAUCUUUUCUGCUUCUCUGCAUCAAAAUGGAUGAAGUUACACUGCACCUGCUUAAAGCUUGCAGCUUUACAGCUACUGUUCGUCCUCAUUUCCUACCCAGGGCUGCUAGGGCUGGCUAAGCUUAAGUAGCUG
Molecule: long non-coding RNA, 968 nt
Filed under: Anas zonorhyncha (Eastern spot-billed duck)
Lineage: Eukaryota; Metazoa; Chordata; Aves; Anseriformes; Anatidae
Description: lncRNA (ENSAZOG00000005981.1)
Source: RNAcentral